UACGGGGGGAGCAAGCGUUGUUCGGAUUUACUGGGCGUAAAGAGCGCGCAGGCGGUCGUUCAAGUCGCGUGUGAAAGCCCCCGGCUCAACCGGGGAGGGUCACGCGAUACUGAUCGACUCGAAGGCAGGAGAGGGUAGUGGAAUUCCCGGUGUAGUGGUGAAAUGCGUAGAUAUCGGGAGGAACACCAGUGGCGAAGGCGACUACCUGGCCUGUUUCUUGACGCUGAGGCGCGAAAGCUAGGGGAGCAAACGGG
RNAcentral lists this ribosomal RNA (254 nucleotides) under uncultured bacterium. Its description in RNAcentral is "partial 16S ribosomal RNA". It matches the Rfam family "Bacterial small subunit ribosomal RNA", at positions 524 to 776 of the family's 1533-position model. The record is from RNAcentral.